This is an RNA transcript of Bombus pyrosoma, 7821 nucleotides long. It is a transcript of the gene named segment polarity protein dishevelled homolog DVL-3, with no coding region annotated. Lineage: Eukaryota; Metazoa; Arthropoda; Insecta; Hymenoptera; Apidae. The record is from RefSeq and is a predicted model, not a curated record. The transcript has 10 exons.
UAUAUAAGUAACAAAAUGUGAACUUUGCAGAAUUUAUUUUUUUCACAAAUAUCUGGUGUCAAUGGAAAAAUGCAAAUUCUUUUUUGUAAUAUUCAUAUGCAUAGCACUACAGUUUUUAUUCUACUCAAAAUUCAGAUACGACAACUUUGAAAACGGAAACGUUACGCAUAUUGGAUUUCGGAAUCCUUCGCCAUCUUCGACAAUGGUGCAGUAAUGCCAUCUGACGAUCAAGCAAGCGAAUAGCUGAAAGGGUGUAAAAAUGAGGCUGGAGAUUGUCUUUCUAUCUUCGUUCGUUUCCAAUCUUCGAACGGAGAGUCGAGUCGAGUGUCGGGCCGACUGCCGCGACUGUAUGUAAUGUCGACAAGAAUGUUGACGUUUAAUUCAACUCGUCGGAAGCAACGAAUACGCGUCGUGCGAGUCUCGUGAAUAAUGUCAACGAAUUCCUUAUAACUUACUACACGCAGCCGUAAUAAUGUUAUGUAUCGUGGAGUUUACAUAAACCUGUAAUAUUCAUGAACGAACAAUCAUCGUACGCGCGAGGGCUUUGGCUCGAACUGUGACGCGCCAUAUUGGUUUUAAGAGAAUUGUUCAUAUUAGUGGGCUUUAGGUGAAUCUGUUUUACUGCAAAUGCACGUAGUAUAAUAAAGUUGAGACGAUGGAAGAGACUAAAAUCAUAUAUCACAUUGACGACGAGGAAACCCCCUACCUGGUGAAGCUUACCAUCUCACCGGAAAGGGUCACUCUUGCCGACUUCAAAAAUGUCUUGAAUCGGCCAAAUUAUAAGUAUUUCUUCAAAUCAAUGGACGAUGAUUUUGGUGUGGUGAAAGAAGAAAUUGUAGAUGAUGAUGCCCAUCUUCCCUGUUUUAAUGGACGAGUUGUUUCUUGGCUGGUAUCUGCUGAAGGCAGCAAUGUAUCGGAUGGUGCAUCACAGUGCACAGAUUCAGUGGCACAUAGUGAGGCAAAACAUGAUCGUGUUGAUCAUGUGACACCUGGUCACACAAAUCGUGGCCCACCCCCAUUGUCACAUGAUGACACUCUAACUGAAACAGAAAGUAUUACAAGUAGUCGACAAGGGCAUCAUUUGCACAAAAGUUCAAGACACCAUUCAGAUAAAUAUGAGAAAUACAAUAAAUACAAUGGACUUCGUAUAAAUGGUCAUUCGAAACACAGAUCGGGCCAUGGUUAUGAGACUGCUUCUAUUUUAAGUUCAGAUUUAGAGACAACAACAUUUUUAGAGUCAGAUGAUGAUGCUAGUAGCCGCAUAACAUCAACUACAGGCAGACAUACCAAUAUGAGUAGUACAGUUGACAGAGCAACUUUAGAGCGGCGUAGACCACAGAGGAGGAGGCGUCAUAGAUUGCCACCUAUGUCUAGAACAUCAUCCUUUAGCAGUAUCACAGACAGUACAAUGUCUUUGAACAUCAUAACAGUUUCAUUGAAUAUGGAUACUGUUAAUUUCCUUGGGAUUAGCAUUGUUGGUCAAAGUAACAAAGGUGGAGAUGGUGGAAUCUAUGUUGGUUCAAUAAUGAAAGGGGGAGCAGUUGCUUUAGAUGGCAGAAUAGAACCUGGUGACAUGAUUCUUCAAGUAAAUGACAUUAAUUUUGAAAAUAUGUCUAAUGACGAGGCAGUUAAAGUACUACGUGAAGUAGUUCAGAAACCAGGGCCAAUCAAAUUAGUUGUUGCAAAGUGCUGGGAUCCAAAUCCAAAAGGUUAUUUCACAAUACCACGUACAGAACCUGUACGGCCUAUAGAUCCCGGUGCUUGGGUGGCACAUACAGCUGCUAUAAGGGGUGAAGGUUUUCCUCCACGCCCGCCAAGCGCCACAACAAUAACUUCAACAUCGAGCAGUCUUGCAAGCACACUGCCAGAUACAGAAAGACCAUUGGAAGAACUUCAUCUUACGGUGAAUACCGAUAUGCCAACAGUAGUACGAGCGAUGGCUCGUCCUGACUCAGGGUUGGAAAUUCGUGAUCGUAUGUGGCUUAAAAUAGUAAUACCAAGUGCAUUUAUUGGAGCAGAUGUUGUGGAUUGGCUUAAUACUCACGUAGAAGGAUUUAUUGAUCGACGCGAUGCAAGAAAAUACGCAUCUCUUAUGCUAAAGGCUGGAUUUAUUAGGCAUACAGUGAACAAGAUAACAUUUUCUGAGCAAUGUUAUUAUAUAUUCGGUGACCUGUGUUCAUCUAUGAGUAGCAUGAAACUAGAUUGCGAUACAGUCGGACCAUUACCUCCGCCAAAUGCCUGGGACAUGCCUUAUUCAGGGACAUAUGCACCUCAUUCUGCAACUGGUUACAGUCCAAUGCCAUUUAACUUCACUAACGAACCAACUGUAUAUGGUUAUCACCGAGAAGAAAGUGUUCAUAGCGGUUCAGGCGGCAGUAGCGCAGGUAGUGAACAUAUUUGCAAAGAACCUAUUCACGAUUUGAAGUCCUGUUCUUCAGCAUCUGAAUCUGAAUUGCAUAUUCCAUCAGUGCCAACUAUGCCAAGUAAAAAUUCUGGCAAUGGAAAUGGUUCGAAUGGAAAGAGGUCUAACGGCAGCCGCAGUCGUUCCAGUGGUUCUGAACAAUCUGUGCAGACAGGAACUGGUUCAGGAAAUCAACAGAACCAACAAGACUUAUCUGGUAGUAGACAGUCAUUUCGCAUUGCGAUGGGAAAUCCUUGUGAAUUCUUUGUUGAUGUUAUGUAGAUGCCGGUGUUGUAAAUAGAUGAGUUAUAAAUUUAGAGAAAAGAGCAACAUAUAAUUGAAUAUUCCCGAAUGAAUACUUUGACACAUUUAUCUGGCAGAUUAAAUAAGAUCUUAUAAAUUGGCGUUAGGUAUAUUCUCUUUAUCCUUUUAACAUUAGUAGAAAUCAUAUAAAUAGAUAACGUAUAUUUACAGUGAAUCUUAUAUGGUAUUUCAAAGUAUUUAUUCGCUGCCCUAUUCAAUUUAUUUCCAGGUUUAUAUAAUUCGUAUUUGAUGUUUUAACGAUUUGUUCAUACGUGUCGUUUCAACUUUGCAUUCCACUUUAUAUUAUAUACUUGGCAGUAAUAAUAUUUUUGGAAGUUCGUCUCUAUUAAAUGUAUUUUAUAUUCAUUAAAAUAUUUGCAUGUAAUAUGUAAAUGUACAUACUAAUGUGGUUCAAAGAAGUUGCAUCAGAAUGUAAGAUUUAAAUUCAACAAAGAGUAAAACAGGUAUUUUUUAUGCCAUAAUAAUAAUAAAAUUUCAAAUCAUUUUUAGAAUAUUGAUUUUAUUAGCUAUAGUAGCUGUUGAUUAUAAUUCAUUUACUAUUCCUUUUAUUUUCAUUAUUUGAUUAGUAUAAAUUUGAAAAUUUACAUAUAUACUAAAGUAUAUAUACGAGAUAAAACUAAAAUUGUAUUAUUAUUAUUAAGCUUUGCUGGAAAAAAACAAGUACAUUUUCAAUGUUGUGCAUGAAAUAUGCAACUGUUGUGUUGAAGUUUAGCAUACAUAUAGCAAUAACGAGCCUAGUAUAACUAUUAUGUACGAGAAACUCAGUAUUUAAUAUCGAUAAUUCAUUAUUAUUAUACAUACACUAUACUGCACGCUUUACUAUAAAUAUAUUACGGUGUAUUUGUUGAUGUAAAGCACGAUCGCACAUGAAGUAGAGCACAAGCAUGGUCAUGUAAAUAACACGGUUUAUGUCGAUAAAUAUACGUAAUGAACAUUGCAAUAAUUCGCUACGUAAUGCAUGUAAAUUAUAAUUAUUUUAUAAAAAAAAAGGUACGUAUUUUUUUAUUAAUAUUUUUCCAUUGCUUGCGUUCUAGGAUUGUCUACGACAAUGGGGCAGCUAUUUCUUUAAAAUCGAGAGGAUGUUAUUUCGAAAUGUUAAAAGGUUCACUAAUUAUUGCUUUGCAAACACAUUCUUUAAGACUAAUCCGCUUUAAAUAAAAAGAAGGAGGAAAAACGAAAAAAAGUAUAUAUAUGCAUGUACAAAGAAAAUAUGCAAUACGAUUGUUAUUGUAUAUUGGGCAAUUAUUGGUGAAUCAUUUAAAUUGAGGUUGUCCAUGCGUAAAGGACAAAUUUUUAUUGUAUUCCUAUUGAUUCCAGUUAUUUGGUGAUGAACAAAAAGAAAUUGUUUAAAAUUAUGUUGUGUGGUAUUGCAUCACAAAGUUCGACAAUAUGUAAAUAGAUCGAAUUAUGCUCAUAUUAAAUGUGCCAUCUUAUCAGUGUUAGAAAGUACUGAAAAAGGAACUGCGACAUAUAAUUUAUAUAUACAAGCUUCCCAGGUGUAUGCAUUUCUUUACUGUUUAUGUUCAUUGAUGUCAUCUUAUCUAAUGAAUUAUUACGAAUUCUUACGAAUUAUCUUCUGCAUCUCUCACACACACACACACACACACACACACAAGCUUAUUUAAUUUCAACAAACGUUCAUUACAUUUAAUUGCGUCUUGCCGUUGCGUUAUUAUUAUAUAAAUUUUUAUUUAGCAUAUCACGUUGUAUUUAAAUAACGUUCUUUUUAUAAAAUGCCGCUAGAAAAUACUUGCAUUCGAUGCACAUAAAUGCAUUGGCGUCGUAACACUAUAAGAGUAAUUUCAAAUAUGGUGUGAUGUUUCUUCCUACCAAACAUUUCACGUUAAAAUGAAAAAAAAAAAAAUAUCAGUAGCGAUUUUUACGUUUCUUUUUCUAUCGAUUUUGCUACUUUUUAUAUUUACACGAACUAUUUACAUUGCUUCCUUAAUAUUUAUAAAACGUAUAUCAUAGAAAAUACUACCUACGUCUUUUUAUAUAACAUGCAACCAUGUUUGAAAAUUUCGUUGUCUAAUCGUGCAAUUUUCCAAAAUAACGACUGAAACCUCUUUUUAUUUCCCCCUUUUCUUCGGCAUCUUAUAAUUAUCGAUAAAUAGGCACUUUUUUAUACUGUCCCCUGUAGAGAAUAAUAUAACGGUAUUAUAAGAAAUUUUUUACCGAUUUGAUAAGCACAUAAUACAUAGAUUGUAUAGGAAAGAUUUUGUUGGAAAAUUGCGCACUGGCAUUUAAUCGUUAAUUUCAAUGGAAAUGUUUUCAUUUCGCUGCAAAUGAUUAUGUAAUUCGAUAUUUAAGAAGGUAGUUUACACGAACUUCUAUCGUUUAUCGAUAUCAUUAUGGUACCAAUCAUUAUAUAUUAUUCUGUAAAAUAUAUACAUAUUUUAUGUUGCAGACAGGUUGUACAGUAUGUUUGAGAAAGGCAAAAUGUGUAUUUACAAUGUAUUGUUUCAAAUUAAUAUUUACAAACCAAGAUCCAUUUAUUAUUUGAAUAAAAAAUGAUACCGAGGAUGAAAAAGAGUGAAAAUACAAAUUUUGCGACUCACAGACAUACUCCGAACUUGGUUUAUUUUAUUUUCUAUUUAUUGCGCCGCUCUAAAAGGACGUGCUGCUUUCUGUCUAACAAACGACUCAAUUCCCCUUUGCAACUUACGUUGUGCGCAUGUGGAUUACAUCAUGUCAAAGACGUAAUCGAGUCAUUUUUGUGCCUUGUGCUGCGCUGACGAUUGAUGCAGAGCGGCGUAUGCACGAGGAAAUUCGUACACUGACUAGCGGUUUGGACAACAAUAGCAGAGACAAUAUCUGUGAGUGUAUUUUAUUUUGUCACGUCGAGGGACUCACGCUGAUUCCUUUCUUUCCGUAUAUCUCUGUCUUUUUGAAUUUCAAACGUUAAUGAAGAAGACAUUUUGGAGUACCAGUUUCUGCACAAGUGAAGAUAUUUGUUAAUGCAAUACGUAUACGUAAUGGUGGUACUAUAGAAGUUGAAAAAAAGGAAAUUAAGGUAUAUUUCCACUUGACCUUGAAUUGGGUGGACGGAAGUAGCAAACACGAGACAUAUAUAUAUUUAUACAUAUAUAUAUAUAUAUAUAUAUAUAUAACAGACGAAUUUUGAUUAAGCGUCAUAGAAAAUAAAGAAUCUAAACUAUAUAUAAUUUGUAAUGGCUAUACAUAAAAGAAGGAAAUAGGAUUAAGGCCAUCAAAUUUCCAUGUGGUAUUUAAUAUCAUUCGAAAACGUGAUCUAUAUAGAUUUCGACAGGAAAACAAGAAAUGAUGGCGAAAAAGCGUGCUUUUUUAACGCAGGGUGUAUGUAGAUUGAGAAAUAAGAAUUCUCGUUAAUUCCAUAUAUGUGUUUUAUCGAUACUUCUUGUUCUACCUUUGUUUUUUUAUUUUAAAAUAAUCGCGAUAAUUAUGUGUCAUUUUCGAUUGUAUAUCUUUUCACAUCGUUUGUCAGUUUAAACAAUAAUGGAUAUUUUCAGUUGGGCUUAAAGUUUUUCAUUUUUGAUCUUAAAAGUUUUUGAAAGUAAAAAAAUUCUUUUUUUUCAACUGUUUCAUUUGUUCUUUUUUUCAAAUGUUAAUUAUCAUGUUAUAAUAUGGCUGUAUUUUUAAUUAUACGGGUAUGAACAUCAAAUUUACGAAAUGCAAAAUGGAAACUAAGAUUUUGGUACUGAGGAUGGAACUGAGGUAUAGGAGCAAAAAGUGUCAGUAUAAUAAAAGAUGAUAUUCGCAAAAUUCCUGAUUUAUUAGUACAACUUAUGACUGCAAAUACGUCUGUAAUGAAGUGUUAAUUCAUGCUAUGAAAAUUAAUUAGUAUGAAACAUAUUAUACAAUUGUUGUAAGUAUUAUCGUUUCACCUGAAUUUUACGCUUAAAUGAAAAAGAAAAAUUGAAACUUUUGUAACUAUAAAUAACACAGAACACUUUUUAUCAAUCUUUAUAUGAAAAUAUUCUAUUGGAGUUUUCGCGUUAAUUCAAUCAAGCAGCUAUAGAAUAUUUAAAACAUAAGUGAUAAUAAUUUCACCAUUAUUCUUCUAGUUUAAACAAACACCAUGCGUCGUUGAAUUUUCUUUAUACUAAAUAAUUGAGAACUCGAUGUAUGUACGAUUUUAUUUUUCCACACUACUUUAACCGAUUACUCGUUAAGGAAAGGCAAUACGUAAAUAAAUUGUAAAGAUAGGAUUAUAUAAUUGGUGAAACACUUUCUCCCCCGAUUCUGUGUGUAAGUUUAUACGAGUAAGUGUGAUGAUACUGCAUUGUCAUGUGCAUGCACGAGUCUCCUCCCUCACUAUUAGAAUUACGGAUAAAAACGGAAAAAAAAGAAUGGAAGAAUAUGAAGUAAACCUCGAUGAGUCAAUAUGAAUCGAAUGAAAGUUUACUCAUUGCGACGCAUUCGAACGCUAUUCCGACUGAAGUAUUUUAAUGUCAUUUAGAGUACCAUAGUACAAGGCGACAAGAUAGUCAAUCGAUAUCGCAUUUACAGACAGAUAGUUCAUUCCUUGUAUUUUUUAUCCCUUUGCGAGACAAAUGUUUGCGGACUUUUUUAUCAAGGCUACGACCGCGUACACGGUGUCGUCGAUACUCUAUUUGCGAUGUUCAACGAUUUUUACACUAUUUAUUAUAUAUUAUGUGAGACUAAGAGAUUUGUAAAAAGAAGAAAAGAAAGAGAAAACGGGAAGCUGAAGGAAAGAAAGAGUAAGGAAGAAAGUGGCGCAUUCAUUAGACCGAUAAAAUAAACGACUUCUUCAAUGUGUGUGUUUCAUGGAAACAUUGCGAGAUGAUAUGACAGAUCAUGUAUGUCGAGACGAUCUUCUCUACCGCCUUUUUUCUGUCGCGAAACUGACUGCGAAAAAGAAAGGAAAACAAAAUGUAAUGCGAACGAGUUUAUAUCCAUAGUAUACACGAUUACGUGGAUGUAACGAAUGAUCACAAUGGUUCAGAUUAUUCCGCAAGAUCAGGUAAAGAUCUGCAGGAAGCGUAAGCUAAAAUAGAACGACGAAAGAAUUCAAUACAUGUAGUAGUGUGUGGAUAUACAGGGAAAUAGAUUGUAAAGAUUUUUAUGACUGUCUGAAAUUAUUAUUGUCUUUGAUA